Molecule: ribosomal RNA, 451 nt
Filed under: uncultured bacterium
Lineage: Bacteria
Description: bacterial SSU rRNA
Rfam family: Bacterial small subunit ribosomal RNA
Source: RNAcentral
GUUCAGAGUAUUGCGCAAUGGGCGAAAGCCUGACGCAGCGACGCCGCGUGGAGGAUGAAGGUCUUCGGAUUGUAAACUCCUGUCAGAGGGGGCGAUGGAUUCCAUGGCGAACAGUCAUGGAGUUUGACAGUACCCUCAGAGGAAGGCAUGGCUAACUCUGUGCCAGCAGCCGCGGUAAUACAGAGAUGCCAAGCGUUGCCCGGAUUUAUUGGGCGUAAAGGGCGUGUAGGUGGUCAAGAAAGUCUGAUGUGGAAGCGCAGAGCUUAACUCUGCAAUUGCAUUUGAAACUACUUGACUGGAGUAUGGAAGAGGAAAGCGGAAUUUCCGGUGUAGCGGUGAAAUGCGUAGAUAUCGGAAGGAACACCAGUGGCGAAGGCGGCUUUCUGGUCCAAUACUGACACUGAGGCGCGAAAGCUAGGGGAGCAAACGGGAUUAGAAACCCCGGUAGUCC